CAUGGGGCCGACAUGGUAAUCACAGACCAUGGCAGUGGAGGCACAUCCUAAUGCCUCCCUAUCAAUGUUCAGUGGUACUGUCUCUGUGUACUGUAACAACCACAGGUGAUGGGGAACCAGGGUUCAGUUCCCAAGAGGGGGCCUGAGAAUCUGUCACCACAUCCGAGGCAAGCAG
Molecule: non-coding RNA, 175 nt
Organism: Podarcis lilfordi (Lilford's wall lizard)
Lineage: Eukaryota; Metazoa; Chordata; Lepidosauria; Squamata; Lacertidae
Source: the annotation of a GenBank genome assembly